CGCCCACGGUUCGGCCUCCCUCCCGCCUGGCUCGGCGCUCCUCCGCCCGAGUUCUCCAUCCCCUGGAUCCCGGGCUCGCGGGGGCGCGGAGAAGAGGAUCCAGGAAAGCCUUCCUUGGCCUCUUCACCUGCAUGGCCUCCUUGCUGGAACCCAGCCUGGAAAAAUUAAGCUUUCCUAUCGCCAUGCCCUGUGGGAUUGAGAAGGAUCUAGCUGAAUGCCAUUGAGCCAAAGAAAGAAGAGGCAGUCACCGAACAAACCUUCCUGGAAAUAGAGAUCUCCCUGUAUCCAAAGACGGCAAUUCCCUGAUAACUCCCCAAUGAGGCCAAGGCGACAGUUGCAGAUCUGUGUGUGCAAGCUUGGGGGUCAGAUCCUAGCUGCAGCACGCAGCAGCUGUGUGACUUCAGGGGAGCCCUGCACCUCCCUGAUUCUCAUUCACAGUGAUGAGUAGUAGCCCCUUCUCCCAGGGAUUUGGGAGGAUGUGCAGACUGUGCCUGCGAACUUGCCUGGCAUGUGAGACAGAGUCUUACUCUGUCACCUAGACUAGAGUAGAAUGGAACAAUCACAGCUCACUUGCAACAUAGAAACCCCAGGGAAUAAGGGAUCAUCCUGCCUUGGUACACUUUUGGAACCCAUUGUGAUGGGGUUACCUGGACUUGUAGGGCAAGCCACAAACCCACUGGCUGUUCAUGAGCUCUAUCAAGUUACCACUUACUGUUUUUUCUAAAAAAGACUUGACUUUAGAGAGCACUUUUAGGUUCACAGCAAAAUUGAAAGGAAGGUACAGAGGUUUCCCAGACAUAACCCAACCUCCCAUAUAACCUUAUUG
This is a long non-coding RNA of Cebus imitator (Panamanian white-faced capuchin), 826 nucleotides long. RefSeq lists it as uncharacterized. The record is from RefSeq and is a predicted model, not a curated record. The transcript has 6 exons. NCBI's taxonomy places the organism in Eukaryota, Metazoa, Chordata, Mammalia, Primates, Cebidae.